UACGGAAGGGGCUAGCGGUGUUCGGAAUUACUGGGCGUAAAGAGCGCGUAGGCGGCUUACCAAGUUGGGGGUGAAAUCCCGGAGCUCAACUCCGGAACUGCCUUCAAAACUGGUAGGCUCGAGUCCGGAAGAGGGGCGUGGAAUUCCCAGUGUAGAGGUGAAAUUCGUAGAUAUUGGGAAGAACACCGGUUGCGAAGGCGGCGCCCUGGUCCGGUACUGACGCUGAGGCGCGAAAGCGUGGGGAGCAAUCAGG
RNAcentral lists this ribosomal RNA (253 nucleotides) under uncultured bacterium. RNAcentral's name for it is "partial 16S ribosomal RNA". It matches the Rfam family "Bacterial small subunit ribosomal RNA", at positions 524 to 776 of the family's 1533-position model. The record is from RNAcentral.